This 442-nucleotide ribosomal RNA is filed under the name uncultured bacterium. Its description in RNAcentral is "partial 16S ribosomal RNA". It matches the Rfam family "Bacterial small subunit ribosomal RNA", at positions 338 to 795 of the family's 1533-position model. The record is from RNAcentral.
CCUACGGGCGGCAGCAGUGGGGAAUAUUGGGCAAUGGGCGCAAGCCUGACCCAGCAACGCCGCGUGAAGGAAGAAGGCUUUCGGGUUGUAAACUUCUUUUGUCAGGGAAGAGUGGAAGACGGUACCUGACGAAUAAGCCACGGCUAACUACGUGCCGGCAGACGCGGUAAUACGUAGGUGGCAAGCGUUGUCCGGAUGUACUGGGUGUAAAGGGCGUGUAGCCGGGUUGACAAGUCAGAUGUGAAAUCCUGCGGCUUAACCGCAGAACUGCAUUUGAAACUGUUGAUCUUGAGUACUGGAGAGGCAGAUGGAAUUCCUAGUGUAGCGGUGAAAUGCGUAGAGAUUAGGAGGAACACCAGUGGCGAAGGCGGUCUGCUGGACAGCAACUGACGGUGAGGUGCGAAAGCGUGGGGAGCAAACAGGAUUAGAUACCCCUGUAGUC